This 254-nucleotide ribosomal RNA is filed under the name uncultured bacterium. RNAcentral describes it as "partial 16S ribosomal RNA". It matches the Rfam family "Archaeal small subunit ribosomal RNA", at positions 474 to 727 of the family's 1478-position model. The record is from RNAcentral.
UACCGGCAGCCCAAGUGAUGGCCGAUUUUAUUGGGCCUAAAGCGUCCGUAGCUGGCCGCACAAGUCCAUCGGAAAAUCCACCCGCUCAACGGGUGGGCGUCCGGUGGAAACUGUGUGGCUUGGGACCGGAAGGCGCGACGGGUACGUCCGGGGUAGGAGUGAAAUCCCGUAAUCCUGGACGGACCGCCGAUGGCGAAAGCACGUCGCGAGGACGGAUCCGACAGUGAGGGACGAAAGCUAGGGUCUCGAACCGG